AUACGGAGGGUGCGAGCGUUAUCCGGAUUUAUUAGGUUUAAAGGGUGUGUAGGCGGGAGCCUAAGUCAGUGGUGAAAUCUCACCGCUUAACUGUGAAACUGCCAUUGAAACUGGGUUUCUUGAGUAUAGUUGAGGUAGGCGGAAUGUGUAAUGUAGCGGUGAAAUGCAUAGAUAUUACACAGAACACCGAUUGCGAAGGCAGCUAACUAAGCUAUUACUGACGCUGAUGCACGAAAGCGUGGGUAGCGAACAGGAUUAGAUACCCGAGUAGUCC
RNAcentral lists this ribosomal RNA (274 nucleotides) under uncultured bacterium. RNAcentral describes it as "partial 16S ribosomal RNA". It matches the Rfam family "Bacterial small subunit ribosomal RNA", at positions 523 to 796 of the family's 1533-position model. The record is from RNAcentral.